AGUGAACGCUGGCGGCAGGCCUAACACAUGCAAGUCGAGCGGCAGCGCGGGGGCAACCCUGGCGGCGAGCGGCGGACGGGUGAGGAAUUCGUCGGAAUCUGCCUUUUUGUGGGGGAUAACGUAGGGAAACUUACGCUAAUACCGCAUACGUCCUACGGGAGAAAGUGGGGGACCGCAAGGCCUCACGCAGAAAGAUGAGCCGACGACCGAUUAGCUAGUUGGUGGGGUAAAGGCCCACCAAGGCGACGAUCGGUAGCUGGUCUGGGAGGAUGAUCAGCCAAACUGGGACUGAGACACGGCCCAGACUCCUACGGGAGGCAGCAGUGGGGAAUAUUGGACAAUGGGCGCAAGCCUGAUCCAGCCAUGCCGCGUGUGUGAAGAAGGCCUUCGGGUUGUAAAGCACUUUUGUCCGGAAAGAAAUCCCUGGAGCUAAUACCUUCGGGGGAUGACGGUACCGGAAGAAUAAGCACCGGCUAACUUCGUG
RNAcentral lists this ribosomal RNA (484 nucleotides) under uncultured bacterium. RNAcentral describes it as "partial 16S ribosomal RNA". It matches the Rfam family "Bacterial small subunit ribosomal RNA", at positions 29 to 507 of the family's 1533-position model. The record is from RNAcentral.